GAGAAUAAAAGAUUAUUGUAUUGAAUUGUUAAAAUUGAAUUAUACUAUACAUCUAUACAAAUAGGUUACUGGUAACUCAAGUAACUAAUCAAUAACCAAUUAACUAACUUGAAUUAUAUCAUAAUAUUUAUAUCAUCAAAAAGUUGGAUUGAUUUGAUUCCUUCGUUGAAGUACCGUUUGGGAAGAUUUACAAAGUAUCUAUGUGAUGUGGAAUUUGGUUGAUGGGUGUUAGAGCCACACAACAUUUUUUUGGACACCGUUAAUAAUUGAAUGAGACAUUUGUGAAGAUCAUUGUUCCGUUGUGUAAGACCAUCAUUCAUUAUACGUCGGUAGCUAAAGUUUAUACUUUAGCCUAGAUUUGUUGGCAAACUUUAUUGGCAAUGGCAUUCUGUCUCCAGUGUAGCGAUUUUGUUAUAGCUCUAUGGAAUUUUAUAGUUAGCGCAUAUCUAAAUAUGUAGUAUAGUAUUACAUUUGGGGUUUACUCUACUUGACAAAAGGAGAAUGAUCAACAAAAAGACAAAAUAACCUAAAGUCCAAGAUGAGAACUUACAUUGAACAAUUUUACACAAGCAUAUAUUUGUUUGUGGCAUGUCUGUUUGUUUGAAAGCUGAAUAUAGUUAUCAAAAAAUGAUAGGUGAUCAUUAAGAGACAAUACAGGACAGUAGGGAAUUGAGAGACAAUUAAUGUGAUAUAUGAAAAGAUGGUUUGGAAUAUAUAUUACAAAUUUAUAAUGAGAAAAUAAAGAAAAUGAUUCCUGUAGAAUUUUCUGUCAUUCAAUUGAAAAGAGAAACGUGUUGGAGGUUCUCUGUUAUGUCUUAUUGAGGUUUGUUAUUAUUAUAACAAAAAAUUACUCAUGUGUAUUGGAGGUUUCCUGUUGUGUAUUAUUGAAUGAACUUCAGUGCCAUAUUUGUAUAAGUCAAGAGCAAUGGACAUGGCAAUUUGUGGCAUCAUCUCCAGCACUUGAACAUUUAUUAUUGUGUUAACUAGAUUCUUGUAGCCUGCAAAAUAGAUAGAGAUUUUAGAGAUAUAUUAAAGGAAUUAAUUCAGAUGUUACUUAACAAAUUUAAUUUUUUAUUUUUAAAAAGGCAUAUAUGAUCAAGCAUGUCGAGAGAUGUUUGCGGCAGGAAAUGGAUGACCGGAUUGUGAUCAGUACCUUCAAGAAAAGUGACAAAUGCAACAUUCUUGUCAUUGUAAAGCCAAAUAACGACAAGCGUGGUUCUUGAGGCAGUUGAAGAGGCAGAAAGGUGGUCACCAUUGGUUUAGUGGUGGAGGUUUGGGCUUUGAAGAGUGUAUUUUUCUUAAAGUUCAAGUUCGAAU
This 1317-nucleotide long non-coding RNA is filed under the name Lathyrus oleraceus (garden pea). RNAcentral's name for it is "Pisum sativum (pea) long non-coding RNA (PSAT_LNC026085)". The record is from RNAcentral. Lineage: Eukaryota; Viridiplantae; Streptophyta; Magnoliopsida; Fabales; Fabaceae.